RNAcentral lists this ribosomal RNA (253 nucleotides) under uncultured bacterium. RNAcentral's name for it is "partial 16S ribosomal RNA". It matches the Rfam family "Bacterial small subunit ribosomal RNA", at positions 524 to 776 of the family's 1533-position model. The record is from RNAcentral.
UACGUAGGGGGCAAGCGUUAUCCGGAUUUACUGGGUGUAAAGGGAGCGUAGACGGCGAUGCAAGCCAGAUGUGAAAGCCCGGGGCUCAACCCCGGGACUGCAUUUGGAACUGUGUGGCUGGAGUGUCGGAGAGGCAAGUGGAAUUCCUAGUGUAGCGGUGAAAUGCGUUGAUAUUAGGAGGAACACCAGUGGCGAAGGCGGCUUGCUGGACGAUGACUGACGUUGAGGCUCGAAAGCGUGGGGAGCAAACAGG